GUCGAGCGGAGACAGUGAGUAGCUUGCUAUGAGCUGUUUUAGCGGCGGACGGGUGAGUAACGCGUGAGCAACCUUUCCCAGACAGGGGAAUAACACACCGAAAGGUGUACUAAUACCGCAUAAGACCACGGAAUCACAUGGUUCUGAGGUAAAAGAUUUAUCGGUUUGGGGUGGGCUCGCGUCCGAUUAGGUAGUUGGUGAGGUAACGGCCCACCAAGCCGACGAUCGGUAGCCGACCUGAGAGGGUGAUCGGCCACAUUGGGACUGAGACACGGCCCAAACUCCUACGGGAGGCAGCAGUGGGGAAUAUUGGGCAAUGGAGGAAGCUCUGACCCAGCAACGCCGCGUGGAGGAAGAAGGUUUUCGGAUCGUAAACUCCUGUCCUUGGAGACGAGUAGAAGACGGUAUCCAAGGAGGAAGCCCCGGCUAACUACGUGCCAGCAGCCGCGGUAAUACGUAGGGGGCAAGCGUUGUCCGGAAUAAUUGGGCGUAAAGGGCGCGUAGGCGGCUCGGUAAGUCUGGAGUGAAAGUCCUGCUUUUAAGGUGGGAAUUGCUUUGGAUACUGUCGGGCUUGAGUGCAGGAGAGGUUAGUGGAAUUCCCAGUGUAGCGGUGAAAUGCGUAGAGAUUGGGAGGAACAUCAGUGGCGAAGGCGACUAACUGGACUGUAACUGACGCUGAGGCGCGAAAGUGUGGGGAGCAAACAGGAUUAGAUACCCUGGUAGU
Molecule: ribosomal RNA, 724 nt
Filed under: uncultured bacterium
Lineage: Bacteria
Description: bacterial SSU rRNA
Rfam family: Bacterial small subunit ribosomal RNA
Source: RNAcentral